RNAcentral lists this long non-coding RNA (460 nucleotides) under Anas platyrhynchos platyrhynchos (common mallard). Its description in RNAcentral is "lncRNA (ENSAPLG00000030065.1)". The record is from RNAcentral. Lineage: Eukaryota; Metazoa; Chordata; Aves; Anseriformes; Anatidae.
AUGGGAUCUAGAAGACUGUGAGCUGUCCCAGGCUCUGCUGGUUGAAUUUGUGGUGCCUGAAUCUCCUUUUAAUUCUACUGGCUAGGUCAAAUAAAGUAUUUUUUUUCAACCAAAAUUGUAUUUAAUCUAGCUUCUUUAAAAUAUUUUCUUUAAGACAGGCCAAGUUGAUAUAAACACUUCAUUGUUUCAGCAACCAAGUUGAAAACUUGCUGCCUUAGUUUGCUAUUCUUGCUUCCUACUUCUCACUGCUGACCAGGUCACUUCUGCUUUUUUUUUUGUGUUGGCCCAUCUCUUGUAGUCUGCUGGGCCACUUGGGCAUGCCUCAGCUCUGGAAUUAAUGAAAGGAGUAAGCCAGACUUUCUAAUUGAUUUCCUGAGAUCCUGAAGAAAUGCUUACUACUAUUGCAAGAUAUUGUUCUCAGAUAUUCCGUAGACUUUCUACAUACAAAACAGAGAGAUCG